UGUGUGUUAUUCCAGAGAGGGGUGAACAACCUUCUUCUACAUUAACGAACACAAAAAAAUCUACAAAUCAAAAGGGAAAUCAAGGUGACUCCCUUGCAUGUUGAGGAACUUUGAUCAUCUAACAUCCAACAAAUUUACGGCAACUUAAGUGAUACACCAGGAGACCAAACGGGAAAGGAUACUCGUAUCAAAGAGAAACUUUAAGGUAAACUAAAAAUCAGGCACCAGAUGGAAGACCAAGCUACUCAAAGAACCGAACAUACAUGAACGCCUACUAAGUUAUGUCUUCUUUUUAUUCAUGUUUUUGUAAACUGUUUAAAUGAUGACUUGUACUUUAAAUCAAACCAUUACAAUACUUUUAUUAAAAAUAUAUUUUAGUUUAAUCAUGAAAUCAAAUGCUUAAUUUGAUUUCAGAGCUUAAGGUUAAAAGGAUGAAUGUGUUCGGUUCAAGGCUUGAUCGCGAAAUCCGGUAAGAAACAAUUAUAAAAUAACUAUUAAUUAAAUAAAUUUUGAAAGGAAAUAAUGGUUAAAAAUGCAUGGGAAGGGGUGCAUUUAUACACCCAAACCCGGAAAUGCAUCAAGUACAAACAGAUAAAGCAAGUUAUAGACUUGGCCAAGCUGAAUAAAAAGAAUGUGUCGUGUGUAUUAACAAAAGUUUAGUUCCCGUAUGACAAUACGAGAAUAAUUAAAAGAAAUGUUGACUAACCUAUUGUGAACAUUUCAGUAGAAUAAUGUCGGGAGGAAAUGAGGAUGAUACGGUACCCCUUAUCAAUGAGGAGAUACGUCAAAAGAUUUUUUGAAGAGGUCGGUAAAGCAUUAGAAGCUAGUCUACCCCUGUUUAUGGAGAGACUACAAACUAACAUUCUGACCCGUUGAAGAAAGGAUCAACGAGCUAAAGGAGAGCCUUACCCAAGAAAAGGAUAAGGCUAAAGAAAAGAAAGCUUGUCCUUACGACAAGUUUAUGGCAUAUAAACCUUCGACUUAUAAUGGAGAGGCAGAUCCAAUCGCUUGUCAAAGGUGGAUAAGCGAUAUUAAAGGUGUUUUUGAACGAACUCACUACGACUCGAGUGAUUUUGUGGCUUACGGGACCGACCAAUUAAGGGCCUAAGCCAAGGAUGGGUGGGAUAACAUCAGAAAUGAAAAGGGGAUUGAAGCUACAUGGACUAUGACUUAGGAGGAAUUUAACGCGCCCUUCCUCAAACACCAUAGUCCUAAAGCAAUGAUCAAUAAGAUCAAUACGAUAUGUUUAAGCCAUUUGAGUGUUGAAUACAUUAAGUUCACGAUCGCAUAAAAGAUGAAAUUCACUAUUA
Long non-coding RNA from Helianthus annuus (common sunflower), 1310 nucleotides. RefSeq lists it as uncharacterized. The transcript is spliced from 3 exons. Lineage: Eukaryota; Viridiplantae; Streptophyta; Magnoliopsida; Asterales; Asteraceae. The record is from RefSeq and is a predicted model, not a curated record.